Gymnodraco acuticeps is the source of this 422-nucleotide long non-coding RNA. RefSeq lists it as uncharacterized. The transcript is spliced from 3 exons. The record is from RefSeq and is a predicted model, not a curated record. NCBI's taxonomy places the organism in Eukaryota, Metazoa, Chordata, Actinopteri, Perciformes, Bathydraconidae.
UGUAAUAUCUAGGUGAUAUUGCUGUGUUGUAGCCUCAAGUUUGAGUGAUCUAUCUUGUUAGUGGCAGUGAGUGAAACAGGAGCUGUGGAGAGUCUUUAACACGCUGCUGCUGCGCCGCUGGCACCGUUAGCUCCUGGAGGCUACUUAGCUAAAGAAAGGCAUUUUCCUGUCCCUCCUCCUACAAGUCAGGCGGGUGGCUGUCUGACUGACUGCAGACCAGAGCAGCAGAUCAUUUUAGAGAAGAGAGAGGAGGAGGAGGAGGAGGAGGAGGAGGAGGGAGAGCAUGGACAAUGACGUCACCGGUGCAUGAUCACAAAUGAUACAGCCCUGUGAAUGAGUUGUUGGAUUCUCCUCAGCAGAAACUUACUGCAUUUUAUCCAGAACAUCAGGAGCAGCUUGACCAGAGCUGUGCCCCCCUGAUG